GAUGAACGCUAGCUACAGGCUUAACACAUGCAAGUCGAGGGGAAACGACAUCGAAAGCUUGCUUUUGGUGGGCGUCGACCGGCGCACGGGUGAGUAACGCGUAUCCAACCUGCCCACCACUUGGGGAUAACCUUGCGAAAGUAAGACUAAUACCCAAUGAUAUCCCACGAAGGCAUCCGAAUGGGAUUAAAGAUUUAUCGGUGAUGGAUGGGGAUGCGUCUGAUUAGCUUGUUGGCGGGGUAACGGCCCACCAAGGCAACGAUCAGUAGGGGUUCUGAGAGGAAGGUCCCCCACAUUGGAACUGAGACACGGUCCAAACUCCUACGGGAGGCAGCAGUGAGGAAUAUUGGUCAAUGGGCGAGAGCCUGAACCAGCCAAGUAGCGUGCAGGACGACGGCCCUAUGGGUUGUAAACUGCUUUUAUAAGGGAAUAAAGUGAGUCUCGUGAGACUUUUUGCAUGUACCUUAUGAAUAAGGACCGGCUAAUUCCGUG
Molecule: ribosomal RNA, 492 nt
Filed under: uncultured bacterium
Lineage: Bacteria
Description: bacterial SSU rRNA
Rfam family: Bacterial small subunit ribosomal RNA
Source: RNAcentral